AUAAAAUUUAAAAUUACUUGUCGAUCAUUUUAAUUCGUAUUUUGUUUUUUUCCAGUUCAAGCAGUUUCAAGUACAGUUGCCACUUCAUACCAAACAACUCCCGCAGCUUCAGAAAGCACAGAAGUUUACCUGACAGCGACAAUACAGGGGAACUGUAGCAGACGUUCAGAAGUUGCCGCGAAAUUUCCAGAAAUGGCUUGUCGAAUUGCCUUUAAGUUUGGCUGCUCAUCCGCCAACACCGUGAACACCAGGUGUGGCAGUGUUGUUCUCGACUUCAUGAUGAGGUUCAAUCGAAGUGUGGUCGUCAGCAAUGUUUUGACUGUCCUGUUGGAUGCUGCAAGGCAAGACAAAUUCGGAGGUUUCAAAGUCGAUCCAGAAUCAAUUAAACAAGUUUUUAUACCCACAGACGACUCGGAAAGCACAAUA
Pocillopora damicornis (cauliflower coral) is the source of this 426-nucleotide long non-coding RNA. The record is from RefSeq and is a predicted model, not a curated record. NCBI's taxonomy places the organism in Eukaryota, Metazoa, Cnidaria, Anthozoa, Scleractinia, Pocilloporidae.